CAGUCGCCACGGGAAUACGUAGGGUGCAAGCGUUAAUCGGAAUUACUGGGCGUAAAGCGUGCGCAGGCGGUUAUAUAAGACAGAUGUGAAAUCCCCGGGCUCAACCUGGGAACUGCAUUUGUGACUGUAUAGCUAGAGUACGGCAGAGGGGGAUGGAAUUCCGCGUGUAGCAGUGAAAUGCGUAGAUAUGCGGAGGAACACCGAUGGCGAAGGCAAUCCCCUGGGCCUGUACUGACGCUCAUGCACGAAAGCGUGGGGAGCAAACAGGAUUAGAGACCCGUGUAGUCCCUGUCUCUUAUAC
Molecule: ribosomal RNA, 301 nt
Filed under: uncultured bacterium
Lineage: Bacteria
Description: partial 16S ribosomal RNA
Rfam family: Bacterial small subunit ribosomal RNA
Source: RNAcentral